AUACGAAGGGGGCUAGCGUUGUUCGAAGGGGUUACUGGGCGUAAAGCGCAUGUAGGCGGACAUUUAAGUCAGGGGUGAAAUCCCGGGGCUCAACCUCGGAACUGCCUUUGAUACUGGGUGUCUAGAGUGUGGAAGAGGUAAGUGGAAUUCCGAGUGUAGAGGUGAAAUUCGUAGAUAUUCGGAGGAACACCAGUGGCGAAGGCGGCUUACUGGUCCAUUACUGACGCUGAGGUGCGAAAGCGUGGGGAGC
This 250-nucleotide ribosomal RNA is filed under the name uncultured bacterium. RNAcentral describes it as "partial 16S ribosomal RNA". It matches the Rfam family "Bacterial small subunit ribosomal RNA", at positions 523 to 769 of the family's 1533-position model. The record is from RNAcentral.